GAGUUUGAUCUUGGCUCAGAUUGAACGCUGGCGGCAGGCCUAACACAUGCAAGUCGAGCGGAUGACGGGAGCUUGCUCCUUGAUUCAGCGGCGGACGGGUGAGUAAUGCCUAGGAAUCUGCCUGGUAGUGGGGGACAACGUUUCGAAAGGAACGCUAAUACCGCAUACGUCCUACGGGAGAAAGCAGGGGACCUUCGGGCCUUGCGCUAUCAGAUGAGCCUAGGUCGGAUUAGCUAGUUGGUGGGGUAAUGGCUCACCAAGGCGACGAUCCGUAACUGGUCUGAGAGGAUGAUCAGUCACACUGGAACUGAGACACGGUCCAGACUCCUACGGGAGGCAGCAGUGGGGAAUAUUGGACAAUGGGCGAAAGCCUGAUCCAGCCAUGCCGCGUGUGUGAAGAAGGUCUUCGGGUUGUAAAGUACUGUCUUUAGGGACGAACGGUAUCUAUGUGAAUAAUGUAGGUACAUGACGGUACCUAAGGAGGAAGCCCCGGCUAACUACGUGCCAGCCGCCGCCGU
RNAcentral lists this ribosomal RNA (518 nucleotides) under bacterium enrichment culture clone ALO1_GLFRUDD03FL3DX. RNAcentral describes it as "bacterial SSU rRNA". It matches the Rfam family "Bacterial small subunit ribosomal RNA", at positions 9 to 521 of the family's 1533-position model. The record is from RNAcentral.